GCUCAGGAUAAACGCGGGCGGCGUGCCUAACGCGUGCAAGUCGAACGGGUGUCGUCUUCGGACGGCAUUAGUGGCAAACGGGUGAGUAACACGUGGGAAUCUGCCCAAGAGUGGGGAACAACUCCUCGAAAGAGGAGCUAAUACCGCAUACGGUUCGCAAGAACUAAAGCCUUCGGGCGCUUUUGGAGGAGCCUGCGGCUGAUUAGCUAGUUGGUGGGGUAAAGGCCUACCAAGGCGGUGAUCAGUAGCUGGUCUGAGAGGAUGGACAGCCACACUGGGACUGAGAUACGGCCCAGACUCCUACGGGAGGCAGCAGCGAGGAAUUUUCCGCAAUGGGGGCAACCCUGACGGAGCAACGCCGCGUGAACGAAGAAGUCUUUCGGGAUGUAAAGUUCUUUUCUGUGGGAAGAAAGAAAGACGGUACCACAGGAAUAAGCAUCGGCUAACUACGUGCCAGCAGCCGCGGUAAUACGUAGGAUGCAAGCGUUGUCCGGAAUUACUGGGCGUAAAGGGCGAGCAGGUGGCAAGUCAAGUCUGAUGUAAAAUCUCCCGGCUUAACUGGGAGGGGCCAUUGGAAACUGACUAGCUGGAGUGCAGGAGAGGCUAACGGAAUUCCCGGUGUAGUGGUGAAAUGCGUAGAUAUCGGGAGGAACACCAGUGGCGAAGGCGGUUAGCUGGCCUGUAACUGACACUGAGGCGCGAAGGCUAGGGGAGCGAACAGGAUUAGAUACCCUGGUAGUCCUAGCAGUAAACGAUGGAUACUAGGUGUUGGGGGAAAUUGACCCCCUCAGUGCCGCAGCCAACGCAAUAAGUAUCCCGCCUGGGGAGUACGGUC
Molecule: ribosomal RNA, 835 nt
Filed under: uncultured bacterium
Lineage: Bacteria
Description: bacterial SSU rRNA
Rfam family: Bacterial small subunit ribosomal RNA
Source: RNAcentral